UACGGGGGGGGCAAGCGUUGUUCGGAAUUACUGGGCGUAAAGGGCUCGUAGGCGGCCAACUAAGUCAGACGUGAAAUCCCUCGGCUUAACCGGGGAACUGCGUCUGAUAUUGGAUGGCUUGAGUUUGGGAGAGGGAUGCGGAAUUCCAGGUGUAGCGGUGAAAUGCGUAGAUAUCUGGAGGAACACCGGUGGCGAAGGCGGCAUCCUGGACCGGUAUUGACGCUGAGGCGCGAAAGCCAGGGGAGCAAACGGG
RNAcentral lists this ribosomal RNA (253 nucleotides) under uncultured bacterium. RNAcentral's name for it is "partial 16S ribosomal RNA". It matches the Rfam family "Bacterial small subunit ribosomal RNA", at positions 524 to 776 of the family's 1533-position model. The record is from RNAcentral.